Molecule: microRNA precursor, 76 nt
Organism: Bison bison bison
Lineage: Eukaryota; Metazoa; Chordata; Mammalia; Artiodactyla; Bovidae
Source: Ensembl
UUAUCUGAAAAUGUAUGCAGGGUUAUUAUAAUUAAAAAGGUGAGCUAUGAUGACUUUGAUUGCAUUGAUCACAUGA